Molecule: long non-coding RNA, 24557 nt
Filed under: Durio zibethinus
Lineage: Eukaryota; Viridiplantae; Streptophyta; Magnoliopsida; Malvales; Malvaceae
Description: long non-coding RNA (DZIB_LNC000338)
Source: RNAcentral
AUUAACUUUUAAGUUAAAGAACUCUCUUUGCAGAUAAAUGAACAUUGGUCGGUUCUUUAACCUUUCCUAGAUUUCGACUGUCGCAUGUCACCAUACGCCACCACCAGCCACAGGCCUGCGACACCGAUUGGCCUCCAAAUUUCACCAGUAAGUUUAUCUCAGUCUCCUUUUUAACAUGAUCUAGUUGGUUUUCUCAAAGACUUGCUAGAUUUUUGUGGAUCCGAGAUCAAAGUUUUCUCUCUCUUUUCUGACUCUCUGAUGGUCGCUGUUUUAAGGUAUGUUGUUCUUCUUCGAUGGAUGAGGCUUUCUCUUCCUUUUUGAAGUUAUUAUUGUUGUGUUGGUUGUUGUAUCUAUCUAUUCUUCUUUGUAGGUAUGUAUUCGAUGAUCUAGGAGAGCUUGAUUCGUGUUAGUUUGGCUGUUGAGUUGGUGAUGAUUUUUUUUUGUGGCAAGGGUUGGGUAUGGUAGUUCUUGGUAGUGACUAUAGGGGUGGUAGUUGGUAAUAGGUGUGGAGGCUUAGUGACAAGAAUUUGCUAGAAAGUUAACUGAUGGGUGGUAAUCUUGCUUGGUUUUCCCUCUAUUUGUUCCUUUUACCCCCAGAUGAACAACAACCCGAUUUUUACAAAACUAACUUUUCACUUGAGUUUCUAGCAACUUUCAUAAAUUUGAAAAACCCACUUCAUUAUUCACAUGAAUUUGAAAGAAUGAAUUUUUAAAAUAUAAAAUCAAAGUAAAGAAAAAGAUUAUGUAAAGAUUUGCAACUAGGAUUUGUCCUCAUCUUUCUCUCAGUUUUCCAUUAUCACCGUUAUUGAUCUCUCUUCUUUGCUUGCUGUCUUGCUUGUCUGGUUCCUUUCUAGUUUAUCUCCUGUUCUUUUUUGUUGUGCAAAUGAUAAUAUCUAUUAAUAGCUUUAUAUUUUUAAACUGUGUUUGAAGCUUUAAAAUGGACAUUCCUUUGGCUAACUUAAUUGAUGAAGAAUAUUAUGAUUAAGAAAUUUAUGAAAUUUAUGAAAUUUUAGGGUUAAGAAAACUUGAAAAAAAAUGAGAUUUGUUUGAAAAGAGAGAAUAUUAGUAAAAAAUAAGCAAAAAGCAAAAAAUUUUUAAAAAUUGAAUAAUAUACGUAAUUUUUAUCUAUUAAUAUUUUUUUUUAACUUAAUGGCAUUUGUGUUUCACUGUUUUUUUUUUUUUUGUUUUAAAAAAAUCUUACAUUUUUAUAAAUUGAUAACGUUUAAUCCCCGUUUGUGUAAAUUAAAACGUUUAAUCCUAAAUUGAGCAUCCACCUAAACUUCUAAUCUUAAAUUGAGCAUUUAGCCUGCCUUGUAUUUUUUUUCUUCUAUCAUAAUGCCGAUCGGUGAAAGGUUAGUCUCCUUAGAUUGUAGCUUUUUCACCAUAGUUAAACUAUCACCCUCUAAUAUUGCUUUUCUAAACCCUAACUCCAAUGCAAAUGUGAGAGCUUUUACUAUUAUCCUUGCUUCUAGUUGAAAAACAUCUAUUGCAAACAUCAUUCUUUUUGUGGUAGUUCUCAACACAACCUCCAUUCUGUCUCUAAUAAUGACUUUUAUCCCUCUUAUUUUUUGUUGGUUGUUGUAUGCACCAUCGAAGUUGACUUUCACUUUUUUUGGAUUUGGAGGUCUCUAUCCUUUCACCAAUGUACUAGCCUAUGUAUCUGUGAUUAGGUUAGUUAUAUUCCACAAUAGAGUUUGUUAUAAAUCUCACUAGCUCAUGCAUACUUUUUUUGGUCUCUCCAUGUAGAUUUUUAUUUCACACAACCUAUAUACUUCACGCAAUGGUCAUAAAAACCUACAGUUGUUCAUAUGUGACAAUAUUACAUAUAUUUUUGAUCCACUUCUUCAUAUUUGUCAAAUUACUUUCCAUCCCAUAUUCAAACUAUAACAACCUCUAUACAUCAUUUAUCUUUGGACACUUUUUUAGUGUAUGGAAAACUAACUCCUCUUCCUUUCUACACCUAGAACAAAUUACAUUAACAUCAAGUUCUUUCUUAUGAAGAUUUUGCAUUGUGGGUAGAAUACCAUAGUAGUCACACUAGACAAAGGCUUUUAUCUUGUUUAGCACAUUUGUGGCCUAAAUCCUUAUCCAUAAACUUUGGCUGUUCUCUUCCUCAUGUUUCCAAUUAGGGUUGUUUUCCUCUUCCUCGGUACAUAGUAGCUUAUACUUGUUUCAUAUAGUAUAUAUUCCUUUAUUAUCAUAAUGCCAUACUUGCAUGUCUAGUCACCCCACAUUGCUUACAAGGAUUGCAUAAAUGGCUCUUACAUCAUUCUCGUUAAACAUGUUGUGAAUGACAUCAAGUUUUCAAAUCUUUGUGGUUGAGUUUAUAAGCUUUGCCACCAUACAUUCUUUAUCAACAUUGCCCUUUAGUUCUUAUGGCAUGAAAAUGCUUAAAGUUGGUAUCCAUUUGUCCUGUUAGACUCUAAUACUUAUCCUAAUGCCAACUCACCAAUGAAGUUAUUUUCCAACUAGGCCUUUCACAAACCAUAAACUUCUCCAUGUGAGGGAGGGUUUGCUUUUAAGGCUUGCAUCCACGUAUGCAUAGUUUGGGAAAUACCAUGCUUUCAGCACCUACGUUACAAGUUUAUCUAGCUAAGUUUGGAGUCUUCAUCCUUAAUUACCCAACAUUACUUUGUUGAAGUUUUUCAUCUCGUUAAACCUCAUUCUUCUUUUAUCUUUAGUCAACAUAAAUAUCUUUAUUUUAGCUAGUGUGUUCUUUUUGUUUCUCCAUCAAUUUUUCACCAGUAGCUGCUAAUUAUGCUAUUGACCCUUUUACAAAAAACUUUGCAUCGAAAAACUACUUAUAGCAUAUGAGGGAUUACUUGGAAAAUUGAUUUUAUGAAAACUUCCUUUCCACCAUACGGUAAGCAUAUGUUUCCCAAGCUUUUAUUUUUCCUUUAACUUUGUCUUUUAUCUUUUAGAAUGCAUUAAAUCAUCUUUUUCCCACUAUAGUAUGUAGAUUAAGGUACUUUUAAAGUUUUGAUAUCGCUUGAAUUCCAAAAAUGUUUUGGAUUUUCUCUUUCUGAUGCCUAUAUAUAUUUUUGCUUAAAAAGAGGGCUAAUUUGUCAAAGUUGAUUUUUUAUUAUAACCACCUUUGUAUACCUCUAGCAUGUGCUUCACUUUUUCACUUUUACUUCUAUUUAUCCUUGUUAAAAGUAAGCUAUCAUCGACAAAAAAUAAGUGAUUGAUCUUAGGUCCUUUUCGAUUGGCUUGGCUUUAUGUAUUACACCAUCUCGUUUGUCUCUGUCAAGUAUGGUUGAUAGUCUUUUACUGUAGAUAAAAAACAAAUAAGGGGACAAUGGGUCUUCUUGUCUGAGGUAUCUCUCUAGGUAAAAUUUGUUAGUAAUACAACCAUUUAUGACAAUAGAAUAUGAUACAUAUGAUAUAUAACUCAUGAUUAGAAAUAUCCAUCCAUUAUGGAAGCCUAGUUUUUCCAUCAUAGCAUGCAAAAAAUGCCAUUCUACUAUAUCAUAUGUCUUUCUUGUAUCGAGUUUUAGGGCAAAAGAGCUUGUUCUACUUGUUCUCUUAUUUUUCAAGUAGUGCAACAAUUCAUAAGCCAUAAUUACAUUGUUAGUUAUCAAUCUUUUUGGGACAAACACAUUUUGUGAUUCACAAAUACACUUGAGUAAUACAAUUUUAGCCUGUUUGAUAGCACUUUAAUAAUAAUCUUAUACAGUACACAGACUAAUUGAUCUAAAUUGGGUGAUGUGCUAUGGUUCUUUGGUUUUUGGGAUUAGAAUAAUGUUUGUGUGAUUUACUUCCUUUACUUUACCCUUCAUAUUCAAAAAUUGUAAACAAAACUUAACAACAUUAUUACCAAUAAUAUGCUAGUAUUUUUUAUAGAACAAAGUAGGCAUACUAUUUGGACUUGGCAUUUUCUAUUGGAUGCAUUUGUUUUGAUACUUUAACUAGUUUCUCAUUUUUAAAUUUAGCAAUAAGAAGUUCAUUCAUAUCUCUGGUAACCCGUUCCUCAUCAUCUCUAUAAUUUUAUCCAAGUUGUUGCACCUCUAAGACUGGAAAAACUGUUUAAAGUAGCUUGUAGCAAUAUUCUAUACCAUUUCCUCAUAUUCACACCAUACCCUAUUACUAUAUUCAAAACCAAGUAUGGUAUUGUGUCUCUUUCAUUGGGUUGCCUUGGUAUGAAAAAAAGUAGUGUUUCGAUCUCAAUCUCUAAACCAAUCAACAUAUGAAUGUUGGGCUAAAAAAUUUUUUUCCUUAUCCAUCAUUUCACUGAGCUCCCUUUUAAUGUUUCUGGCGUUCUAAAUGCUUUCAUCAUUGACUGGUUAGUCACCUACUUAUUGUAAUGUUCUUUGUAGCAUAUUAAUUUUAGCUUGCAUGUUCAUGUAUUUCGUGUCAUGCCAUACUUUAAGGUUUUUGUUGGUAUCCUCUAUCUUCUGUAACAUAUAUCAUUGGUUGACAUUGUUCCACGUUAAUAGGAUUUUUUGCUGACAUUCAUAGUUUUUGGCUUGUAUUGCCUCAAAAUGGAAUAUGCUUAUUCUUUUUUUAGUUUUCCCUUCGGUUUGUUUCCUAUAGUGUUGAGUAGAAUAGGCUUGUGGUUUAACAUUGAUGCUGUUGGAUGGAAUAAUACAAAUAGUGGGAACCUUUCCCACCAUCCUAGGUUUGCCACCUUUUUAGCAAGUUUUUCUCUUACAUUGGAUGUGCUAUUGUUGCUUUUUCUUUAUGUAAAUCAGGUGCCAUGAAAAUUGAGAUCAUUAAGGUUAGCCUCUGUUAGUGCAUCAUUGAACUCUUCCAUUUCUAUUUCUCAUCUUGUCCUCUCUCUAGCUUUUUCAUGUGACCAUAUAAUCUUAUUGAAAUCACCAAUGCAUAGCCAUUGUUUAUUGGAUUGGGUUGCUAAAUUCCUCAGCAAGUUUCAUAACACCUCUCUCAUUUGCACAUCAGCCUCCCCAUAAAAACUUGUUAUACGCCAAUCAUGCUCAUCAUCCUUUCCCUUUACAUUCAUAUCUAUAUGAUUCUUGGAAUAGCUAACUACUUUUAAGUUGGUGUUUUCUUUCUACAUCAUUGUCGAUCUUUCAUUUUUACCAUCAGAAUUCACCCUAAAAUAAUCUCUCAUACAUUUUGCAUUUUAUUUUGUCUAACUUAUUUACAUGUAGUUUUGUCUCACUUAAAAAUACUACAUGAAUGUCUUUUUUCUUCAGCAAUUGUCAAAUGACAUGAACUAUUCAUGGGUUCCCAAGCCUACGAUAAUUCCAUGUUAGGCACUUUAUAGUGUCUGACAGGAUUAGCAUUCAGUCAUCGUUGUUUCAAUUAUUUCCUCAUGGUUAAAAGCUUUAUCAUUAUUUGGAUGUUUAAUUUAUGGUUUCCUAUCCUGUUUCCCUUAUUUACGUUUACUCCACCAUCUGCAUACUUUUUUUCCCUAGUGCCACUAUGUCUCUUGUUAGAGUUCUACUCGCAGUGCUUGCUUGUUUUUUUAGCAACUUUUACCUCUUAUCCUUAUUUGUUUUCUCUUUUUUAUUUGUAUGCCUAGCUGUGUUUGCAUGGUUCGAGGUUUUGGCUUCUAUAUCUCCCUAACCCAUCUACAUUAACUAGGACCCAAUAAUUAUAUGGUCUAUACAACUUAUCACUUCAUCAUUUUUUUCUUACAUCAUUUGACCUAUUACUUUGACUUAUUUUGCAUGUGUCAAUUUUUUGUUCAAAGAUAACAGAUCAUAAUGAUUUUAAAUUCUUUCCCUCUUUUUCUACUAGAAUUACUAGUGGAUUGAUCCUUAAAAUCUCUUAAGAAUUCUCCUUCUAGUUAUUCCUCUAAUUCUUCUUUUAUCAAUGCUAAUUUCCAUGUCCAUUUUUUUUGCUAAAAAACACAAUAACAACUACCUUCUGUUUCGAGAAUGAUUGCUAACCCUAGUGUCUCCUUCUUCCCUUCCAUCCAUUUCUGCCACUCUUCACCAUUUUUCAACUUUGUCCACCUUUUUUGUCUUAGUAUUCCUUUAUGUUGAGCCUUGAAAUGAUCUUCUGGCUUGGUAUCAUGUGCUGAUCCCAAAAGUUCUAACAUUCUUUUUAACAGGUGAUAUGUGUAGUUAUUCGCCAUAUUGUCUUUUCAUUUCAGUUCCUGGUUCUAACUCAUCAGUCUUAUUGCACUUCGACUCUAUGUGGCCAAGUAGACUGCAUGUGUAGUAUAGUUUUAAAAAUCUCUCAUAUUUGAAGUGGCCCUAUAUUAGAACCUUUUUUUUCUAAGUUAGGAUUACACAUCUUCUUAGGGGUUUUCUGACAUCGAUCUUCACUUUGAUCCUAAAAAAAUUUCCUAACCAAAAUAAUCCUUGUUUAUGUCAAUGUUUUUCAAUUCUUCAAUCUUUUGACCUAUACACUCUAUUUCUUUCUUGAUCAUCCAUUUCAUUGGUAGAUCGUACACUUUGACCCAAAAUGUUAUUUAGUUGAACUUGUAUUCAAAUGGUCUUAAAUCUCCAUCGUAUUCACGGAAUAACAAUAGAUGUUUGUUUAAGGACCAUGGCAUCUAUCUAGAAAUCUUGUUUUGUCUUUCUUUAUCCUAAACUUAAACAAGAAGAGAUUUAUGUUUAAUAUGUUGAUGUGUAGUUCCCUUGCCAACAUCCACAUUACAUUAAAGGUUCCUAGCAUUACCUCUCUGUUAAAAUGAUUACUAGAGAAAAGCUUUCUUAUCAGCCAUUUUUCCUCAUCCGAUAUCCCCUGACUCACUUGCUCAAUUAUUAUAUUUACUCGAUCUUUAUUUUCUUCUAUUAGGGAGAGGCUUCUCCACACUUUCUAUAGGUCUUAUGCCAUCAGAUAACUACUUGCCACUAGUUUUUGGGGCUAAUAUACUUUUUUACUGAUGUUGACACUGAAAUACUCUUAUCAAAACUCACAAAAACUAUGAAACUAUGAAACUAGAAAAUUGAACUCCUCCUAUAAAGAUACCCUAAUGAUAUUCUCACAAGUUGUUAUUACUCCAAAUAUUUUUCAUUGAUAUCAACCAUGGCAACGCAUUGUUCUUACUGUAUUAAGCUAGCAUGGACUGACCUAUAUUGCAUUUGUGUGUGUGUAUGUGUGUAUAUAUAUAUAUAUAUUACGAUUUGUAAACUCAAACAAAAAAAUUUUUUAAAAAGUGUUUUUUGCAGAAAUGUUAAUCUUACCCAAAUUUGAUGAAAAUUUUGAUUUUUUACCCUAAUGAGGAUGGGGAUGGGUAUUAAAUUUUGAUAUGGAGACGGAGAUGUGUACAAUUUAAAUUUUUUAUUGGGUUUGAGUAUAAGGAUAGGUAAUAUAGCAUUCACUCAUACCUGUACCCUACAUAUUUAUAUAUAUAUAUUUAAUAAAUUAUUUUUUAUUUAAUAAUAUAAAUUUUAUUUUAGAUUUAUUAGAACUAAUAUAUUUGUAUUUAUUAAGAUUAUUGAAAUUAAUCCUAACUUUCCUAUUCCAAAUAGUUAGAAAUUAUGAAACUGAUCCUUUGACUUGAUUUAAUUUGAUUACUCUUUAUUUUCCUUUAUUUGUUUUUCCUUAGAUAGAUACUUUCAUAUAAUUAGAGUUUGGUCCUCUUGUCUAUAUCUUUUCUAGCUCUCUUGUAAAUAAAACAAGAAAGAAGCUACAUAAACUUUUUACAUAGUAUCAGAGUCGUUCUUAUAGUUUUUUUGUCUUAUUUUUUAUGGCCUUAAUUGCCCUAUACCUUUUUUCCUUCUUUUGCCUUCAUUGUAAUCUCUCCCUUCCCCAAAAAACAAAAAAAAUAUUAUCCUAAAGAUGUCAACAACCUCAAUUACCUCUUUACCUAAUAUGCCAUUUGUGGCAAUAGGUGAACCUACUACUGUUUCGUUGUCCAAUGUGAAUGAUCAUCACUUGUUGAUUUAAAUAAUGAACAAUAGAGUAUGAACCCUUCUUAUCGAUUUGAUGGAAUGAAUUACCUAUAAUGAAGAUAGAUUGUUCGAACCUUCCUUAAGGGGUUAGGGAAGAUAGAUUACUUGACUAAUGAUGGCCCAAGCCUUGAAGACCUAGGCUUUAAUACGUGGGUGCAGAAGAUUCUAUGAUUAUGUCAUGGUUAUGAAACUUUAUGAAACUAGUGAUUAGUUGAAAUGUGAUGUUUUUUUCCACUGUAUGAGCCAUAUGGGAGACAUUACAAUAGACCUAUUUUAAGAAAAAGGAUAUUGCACUAGUCUAUGAGUUAAAGGUGCUAGUUGCUUCCACUAAACAAAAAAACAUAUUCACUGACUACUACAAUAAGAUGAUAGGUUAUGGCUAGAAAAUGAUCACUACUAUGACUUAAAGAUAAAAAAUAGUAAAGAUAAUAAGAUCUUUUAAGAGUUUUUGGAGCAUGAUAGAGUGUUUGAAUUCCUAACAAGAUUGAAUACUGAGUAUUAUCAAAUUAGAGUGAAGACUCUUGGUAAGGACCUAGUCGUAGCACUUUGUGAAAAAUUUUUCAUUAUUCAGGCUGAAAAGAGUCGAUGAAUAGUUAUGCUAGAACCCUAUACAUCUGAAGUUACUACUAAUGUAUCUCAAAAGAUUAGAGACAAAAAAAAUAAAUAAACUAAGCCAAGUGACAGUACUCGACAAGACUUGAAAAAACAAUCUAAUAGAGAUGGGUUAUAGUGUUCGUACUAUAACAAAUCACGCCAUACUCGAUAUACUUGCUUUAAACUACAUAGUAAGGCAAAAAUUUUAACUCGAACUGGGGGGUUUAAGGGUUAUACAUAAGGGUAAGCCAACUUUACCAACAAGGAAGAGACAAAUAUGAAAACAACUCUCAAAACAAAGAAGAGUCCAAGAAAUUUAAUUGGAAAGAGAUGGAAAAGCUGAGGUGAUUUUUGGAAUCAUUGGCAAAAUCAUUAGAUUUUUGCUCUCUAGCCCAAGUUGGUAUGUCUUUCAACUGAAACAUCUAAAGCUUCAAGUACUGCACAUUUGAGUUCAUGGGUUGUUGAUUUUGGUGCAUUGAUCACAUGACCUAUAAUGCUAUUAAUUUUUAAUCUUAUAAAUUCACUUUUGGAAAUAAAAAAUUUAAAGUAAUAGAUGGAUCUCCUAUUGUUAUUGCUAGCCAUGGAAGUAAUCACUUAACACCUUUAAUUUCUUUUAAAAAUGCCUUACAUAUCCUUAAAUUAUCUGCUAAUCUCAUUUCCAUUCAUAAAAUUACCAAAAAACUUUGUUGUAAAAUAACCUUUUUCCUUUUUCAUUAUGUCUUCCAAGACCUAGUCUUGGGGAAGAUGAAUGGAUUUGCUAGAGGAUGGGAUGGGUUGUACUAACUUGAAGACUUACAAAGCUAUGGAAUAAAGUACCAACCCACCUCUUACCAACCAUUUUUUUUUUUUUUUGGUUUUUUCAAAUAAAUCUUAAGUUUGGGCAUAUCAUCUCUACCUUGGACAUCUUUCUUUUUCUUUUGUUAAAGUCCAUGUUUCUUUCUUUGUUUGAAAAUGUUUCUAUUAUUGAUUUUCAUAGUGAUGUUUGUCAAGUUGCAAAACAUCAUUUUGUUUAUUUUCUUGCAAAAUCAAUAAAGAGCAAUAAAACUUUCCUUCUAAUCCACUCUAAUUUUAGGGUCUUUAAAAAAUUCCUAAUAUUAAUAAGGCAUGAUGGUUUGUUUUUUUCUAUUGAUGAUUGCACUCGCACAACUUGGUUGUUUCUUAUGAAAGAAAAAUAAAAACUUAGCACCAUUUUUUCUCAAUUCCAUAAAAUGAUUUCUACACUAUUUAAGGAGCAAAUCAAUAGAUUCAAUUUGACAUUGUCAGAGAUUAUUUUAAUCAAAUUCUUUUUUUAUUUUUCAAAAAUAGGGCAUCAUUCAUGAGUCAUCUUGUGUUGACACACCUUAACAAAAUGAGGUUGCUGAGCAAAAAAAUUACCACCUUUUAAAAGUAACUCAUUCAUUGUUAUUCUAGUCAAAUGUCCCAAAAUUUUUUUUUUUUUUGGGUGAGGUGGUCUUUAUAGCUUCUCAUCUCAUUAAUUGACUUCCUUCAAAAGUUUUGAAAAAUAAAAGCCUCUUGUCUACCUUAUUCAAGAAUUUUCUUGAUUUUGUCUCCCAUCAAAGUCUUUUUUCAAAAAUUUUUAAUUGCAUAGCCUAUUUAGCCAUGCACAAAACCAAUUGGUCUAAGUUAGAUCCUCGUGUAAAAAAAAAAAAAAUUUUCAUUGGCUACUCCUCCACUCAAAAGGGACACGAAUGUUAUGAUCCUUCUACCCUUUGAAUCUUUAUAUCCAUGGAUGUUACAUUCUAAGAAAGUGAACCAUUCUAUAAGCCUCAUUCUACUUAUCUUUAAAGUGAGAACAAGGUUAAAAAAGAUGUGUGCUCAGGUUCUUCAUAUUUUUUGGAAAGUUUCUCAUAACCUUUUUUUUUUAUGAAAAUUAAAAUGUCAAACCUAUAGUAGCUACUUAAAACAAUGCAAAUGAGACAAAUCUAGCCUUAGUAGAUAAAAUUGAGACCAUUCUAGUAGAAGUUCCAACCUUAACAGAUGAAAUUGAUACCAUUCUUGUAAAAGGUUCAAAUCUACAAACCAUUAAACCUAGUAUGGAUCCAAAAAAAACUAAUUUUCAAUAGCUUUUUUGAAGCAACUACAAUAAUAUUCAAGGAGAGUAAAGUCUUCACAAGUAUUAAAACAGAUCCAUGAGCCUAACUCGAGCAUAGGUAAUAACGGCUCUUUAAAUAUACCUGUUUUUGAAGCUAAUGAUUUUAUUUCAUGUGAUAACUAGCCUAUCCUAGAGAUUGACCUUGACUUUCUUAUAGCUUUGAAAAAAAAAAGAGACAAAAGUGCACCCAACACCCCAUAUCCAACUUUAUUUCCUCACAUCAUCUCUCUACACAACACAAAAGCUUUCUCUCCACUUUGAACUUAUUUAAAAUUCUAAAAACAAUACAAGAAGCUUUAGGAGACAAAAAUUAGAGAUGUGCGAUAAGGAAAGAGAUGAGGGCUUUGAAAAAGAAUAAAACUUAGUACAUUGUCUCACGUCCCAAAGGCAAUAGAGCAGUUGGUUGCCAGUGGGUUUAUACAAUAAAGUUUAAAGUAGAUGAAACUCUUAAAGGUAUAAAGUAAGGUUAGUUGCGAAAGGCUAUAUGUAGACCUAUGGGGUAGGUUACCCAGAGACUUUUGCUCCAUUAGCAAAGAUGAAUACAGUAAGAAUUCUAUUAUCCCUUUAUGUUCAUUUUAAAUCGAAAAUUUAACAAUUAGAAAUGAAAAAUGCAUUUUUCCAUGAAACUUUGGAAAAAGUAUACAUAGAACCCCCACUAGGAUUUAAUGAAAAGUUUAGUCCUAAUAAAGUUUGUAAGUUAAAAAAGACUUUGUAUGGGUUAAAACAAUCACUAAGGGUGUGGUUUGAAAGGUUUACUAAAGCAAUGGUGAGAUUUUGCUAUAGACCAUAUCAAGGUGAUCACACUUUAUUUAUCAAACACUUGAAUAAAGAGAAAAUUACUGUGCUUUUAGUGUAUGCUGAUGACAUUGUUGUUAUUGGGAAUGAUGAAAAGGAUUAGUAAAGACUGAAAACCUAACUGGCUUAAAAGUUCAAAAUAAAAAAGUUGGGUAAACUCAAGUACUUUUUUGGGAUUAAAGUGGCAUAUUCCAAAUGGUAGACAUAUUGUUUGAACGAAAAUAUGUACUAGACUUGCUAAAAGAAACAUGCACUUUAGGGAGUAAAGCUUCAAGUAUUUCUAUUGAUCCAAAUCACAGGCUAGGUUGAGAAAACAAAAAGGGAGCAAUUUGAUAAAGGGUGCUACAAAAAGUUGGUUGGCAGAUUAACCUAUCUUUCACAUAUUCGGCAUAUCAUGGCUUAUGUAGUGAGUGUGGUCAGUUAGUUUAUGCAUGAUCCAAAAGAGGAUAAUCUAUAGGUGGUUUACAAAAUUCUACAAUAUUUGAAAGGUACUCUUAAAAUAGGAAUUCUAUUUAAAAAAAAGAAUAAGUUGCAAGUUGAGGCAUAUAUUAAUGUAGAUUAUGCAAGAUCUCUAAUAGAUAGGAGGUCUACAUUUGGCUAUUAUACUUUUAUAGUUAGAAAUUUAGUUAUUUGGAGGAGUAAAAAGCAAUGUGUUAUAGUGAUGUCAAGUACUAAAGCAGAAUUUUGAGACAUGGUAUAUGGAAUUUGCAAGCUUUGUGGCUUAAGAUUAUUCUAAAAGGCUUUAGAAUAAAAGUAGAUGGACUUAUGAGAUUGUUUUGUGACAACAAAUCAGUUAUUAACAAAGCUCAUAACCCUGUUCAACAUAACCGCACCAAGCACAUUAAGGUUAAUAGACAUGUUAUGAAAGAAAAGUUAGAUAGUGGACUCAUCGUAACUCCUUAUAUACAAUCAGGAAAUCAACUAGUAGAUGUACUGACUAAAGGGAAUAGAUGAUAUUCACUCACUAGUUGAGGGGGAGUGUUAAGAUUUCUAAAAUUAAUCAUAAGUUUCCCAUACCAAAUAGCUAGAAAUUAGGAAACUGAUCCUUUAACUUGAUUUGAUUUAAUUGCCCUUUAUUUUCCUUUAUUUUUUUUCUUUAGAUAAAUACUUUCUGUAAUCAGAGUUUUGUCUUCUUAUCUAUAUAUUUAUGGAUUUCUUGUAAAUAAAACAAGAAGAAAUUUACCUAGAAUAUUGAUAGUAUUUAAAACAUAAGUAUUCAUAAAAAAAAUUUAAAUAUGCAAGAUAAAAACAAAAACUAAAAAAAUAAUUUUUUUUUUGAAAAGUCAUGGAUACAGGGAUUACGCAUACCCAUUAAAUAUUCACGGGGAUGGAAAUGUGGGUGAAUUUAAAAUACUCGUAUAUGUACAAAGAUGUGUAUAAUAUAAAAAAUCGGGGUGGGUAAUGCUCUACUUGUCCCAACCGUAUCCAUUGGCAUUCCUAUUUUUGUGGUCAUUGUAAUUUUUAUUAGUAAAAUGAUUUUAUUAUCCUCAUGUUUCUAAAUUUUUAUUAUUUAAACAUAUAUUUUUAGACAUUUUAAUUUAUGAUCAUAAAACUUUUGUUUUUUUACAAUAAUGUUAAACAUUUAAAAUUCUUAAAUUAUAUUUUUCUUACUAAACUUUUAAACAUAAUUUUUUCUAACUCGUUUUGUUUUCAAUUACAAUAAUAAUACUACAACAGGCCUUGAUUUGCUCGGUGGUCACUUUUUUUUUGCUUUCUUUAGCAUUAUUGCAUUUUUUUUAUCAAUUGAACAAAAUCUUAAUUUGUUAGCAAAUCAAGAAAAACUUAGAUAAAGUUUUUUAGUUGAAAUUCAUGAAGUUCUUUGUCAUGACGCAUGGGCCCAACAACCCAGCCGCAAGACUUGAGGAAUGAAAAAAUGUGGGCUAAAAAGCAUUUUCAAUAAAAACUAAAAUAAUGAGUUGUCACCAAUCUUUUUUAAGGUGUAAUUAACCACCUAAAAAUUAUAUUUUUAAUAAAAGAUUUAAAACAGGUUCAAAGUUUAUCAAAAGAACAUUUUACAGUCUGUGAAAAUCAAAAUUGGGUUUAGGAUUUAAUUACUCAUGAGGAAGGAUUAACAUCCUCGUAGUGUCCGUCGAAGAUGAUACUAAUUAAUUAUAUGUUGUCCUUAGAUUUUUAUAAAAAUAGUCCCUCUUUAAUGUUUAGAAAUUAAUUCUUUUUCUUCAUUUGUUUAUUCCAAAAACUGAAUCUUUUUUUUUUGAAAACAAAUCAUUUCUAAUUUUUCUUUGAAAAUAAAAAUAAUUUAUUUUUGGAUCAAAAUGAAAAAGUUUUAAGUAUCAGGAUAUUUUUUUCACUCUUCUAUAUUUAAGUAGAGUUUCAAAAAUAUAUUUAACUUAAUAGUUUUUAGAUUGCCCUUCAAAACCAAGAUGAUAUCUUGCAUAAAUAAUAAUCAUUAGGAGUCUUUCUAUAUUUAGGCUAGAUCUCAAAGACUAUAUUUACUGGAGAUAUUAUCUUAUUUUCAAAACAUUUUUUCUUUAAAAAAAAAACUUAUAAAAUAUAUACAUAGCAUGUAUGAACAUAGUAACAAUAUAUGAUGAAUGCAAAACAAUUAAACAUGAAUGACAAAGUAUAAAUGUAUAACAAUUUAAGAAUGCAUGUAACAAAAAAGUAAAAUGAGAUGCAAAAGGGAAAGUUUAGAGUUUAGGUUGAGAGUUACGAAGUAUGGUUUAAGAUUUGGAGUUUAGUUUAGAGUUUCAUAAAAAAUGUAUGUGACAAAAAUUACAAGAAUGCUGUCAAUGAAAAAUGCAAACUUUGAUUAUGUAACAAAAUUACUAAAAUACCAUUGAUAAAAAUGUAAACUUUGAUACAUGGGAACAAUGUAUCAAAAAUUACCAAAAUGCAAUUAAUGAAAAUGUAAACUUUAAUGUAUGGACCAUGUAUGAAAAUAAACUUAUUACAAACCUAGACAUACUUGAAAAUAUAUUACAAAUUAAAUAUGCAUGCAACAUUAUAGUAAAAAUGGAUCAAAAACUAAAGGUUUUUAAAAAUUUAAAGACAUAUUCCAUUAUUUUUUUUUAUUUUGAAAUUCAUUUCAACAAACUAAAAUCACCAAAAACUCUACUAAUCUAGCAUUUUUGUUCAUGGGGAAUUUCAUCGAACAUAUAAAAAUAUUGAAAAAAAAACCAAAAACACAAGCAAAUAAAUAUAACAUGAGCAACCUUUUGCCAUUUUUACAAAAGGGGAGGUUCGACCAAGCAUUAUGGGAACUUGGCCAAAUGCUCCCAUUGUCAUUUCUAUCAUCAUGCAAUCUUAUUUAGCUUAGAAAAAUGUAUUUAGCAUUUAUAGAACUAAAAGAUAAAGAUAUUUUUAUUAUAAAGAAAAUUUUAUCAAACAUAUAGUAAACUACUAAAAGAAGAAACUAUAACAAUAUAAGCAUAAACCUAACACCAAAUGCAAACUUACUGAAACAAAUAACAAUCAUGCAUAUAACACAUAAUAUAGCAUUAAACACUUCAACAAACAUUAUUUAAAGCAAGAUAAGCAUGAAAAACAAACUAGGAAAGGUUCGGCCAUAGGAGGAAUGGAAGUUGGUCAAAUCUUUCAUGUACAUUUUAAUGGUAUAUUUGUUUAAUUUUGCUUGAUCUCUUUUGUUUCAAAUACAAUUAUUAUUUUAAUUGGAUGAAACUUUGAUUUAAGCUUAGAUUUAAAUAUGAACAACUAUAGAUUUUCUCAAGAAACAAAAAUGUUAAUGGAAAGAUAAUUAAAAUAAUAUGCAAAUGCAACGAAAUAUGAUGAAAUGUAAUGUAAGAAAAAAAAAUUAAUGAAGAUUAUACCUUCAAGCAAGCUUUCAAAGUUAUUAUUAUUAUUAUUAUUAUUUGCUAUUUUCUCCUAUUUUUCAUGUCACCUAGUUGCCUACUCCUUAUCCAAACCCUUAAGAAUAAAUAAAUAUCCUAUGCAAAAUCAUGCAAGCCCUCAAAUGAAAAUUUCAUCCAAUGGUCAUCUUUUCUACUUUAUUUUCUUUGCAAUGAAUCACUUUUCACCAUUUGAUUUAGUCUUUAAAGAUUAUCCCAUGGUUUAGCAUGUUCAUGGACAAAGAUUACAAUUUUAAUACUACUAAAAAUAUGUGAAAGGAUCAUUUUUACCCCUUAAAAAGUUUCAAUUAUUUUUAUGUAAUUUUCUUGGAAAAUCUUGAUUCGUUCUUUAUUUUUUUUUUAUUUUAAAGCACACAAAAUCCUAGAAUAAUAUGAAAUUAAGAUAUGAAAGUUUACAUGAAAAACCGACCUUAAGAAGGUUAAAUUACGACAUUACCCAUUAAGGGUAUUUUAGUAAUUUUUUACCUUUCAAGGUGUGAUCAAGGUUUUGAAUGCAUUAAAAAUCAUAAUAUAAUAUGAAAACAGGAUUUGGAGCAUUUUGCGAACAACUGACCUUGUAAAAGUCAAAUUAUGUAAAUAUCCCUAAAGGUAUUUUGAUAAUUUUACACAUUUUAAGGCGUGAUCAAGAUUUUUAAUGUACAAAAAAUCAUGAAAUAAUAUAAAAUGUAAUCUACAGCAUUUAGUGAAAAAUCAACCUUGAGAGGGUUAAAUUAUGAAAAUACCUCUAAAGGUAUUUUCAUAAUUUCACUCCACCUUAGGUGCAAUCAAUGUUUUUGAUGCAUAAAAAUCAUAAAAUAAUAUUUAAAUAUGAUUUGAAAGUUUUUACUAAAAUCUAACUUAAAAAAAAAUUAAAUUACAAAACUACCCUUGAUGAGAUUUUAGUAAUUUUACCAUUCUUGAAGUACAAUCAAAGUUUUUAGUGCUUUAAAAUUUCAAAUAUGAUUUUCAAGGUUGAUUAAUCCCAUUUGGUUUUGAAUUUCGAAAAAUUGACCCUAGUUCAAUCCGAUUUGAUUGAUUUAGAUUGAUUUUGAUCAAAUUGACUUUGUUUGAUCAAGUUUGACCUUAAGGUAUUUGGAUUAAAUUGGUUUCAAAUUUGAAAAAACUUGUCAAAAUUAAAAAAUAUUGGAUUUGAAUCGAAUCAAAUUUUAAGAACCUUACAAUUAGUUGGAUUCGAUUGAGACAAAAUUAAGUGUCUACAUCUUUAAUAUAAAAGAUUUAAUUAAAAAUUUAAUAAAAAAUCUAAAUUGAUAAAUUGAUAGAGUCAAAUGAGAAAGUCACAAAUUUCACUUAAAAAACUUCAUCUAAAUAUUUUUUAUUGUUGCAAUGCAAAUUGUAAAGUAAAUUAUAAUAAUACAAUAAAGAAGAAAAUUUAGGUUUAACUUUAAUCAAGUAUAUCUCUUCUUUUAAAUUCAUCAAGUUGCUGGCAUACUAUCGCUUGUUGCAUGAGGUUUAUUUUCUUGGGGCAAUGCUAUUAGGAAAGUGGGAUCCAACCUCAUGUAAAUGGGUUUGGACUAAUCAAAGGCCAUAAGCCUUGGUCUUUCUUUUUACACAGAGCUCUAGCUACUUAAUAAAAAGAAGUGGGGUUGUUUUAAGGUAAAAAAACGGUGGUGCCAUAAACCAAAAAAAGAAAGAGGGAAAAAGAAACCAAAAAAAUAGAGAGAAAGAGAGAAGGGAGAGUUAGUUGAACUGAAGUCGAUUUGUGAUCCGAUUGAGCUAAAAUUUUAUCAACAUGUUUAUGAUUCAGAGUUUUACAUUUUGAAUGGUGAAUAUCGAGUUUGAAGCUCUCUAAGAACAAAUUCAGGGUGUAUUUGUUAAGUCACCUGGUGAGAUUUCUUCAAUUGUCUCUCUAGUUGUUAAUUAGGUCUAGUUUUAGUUAGAAAAAAAUUUUGUAUAUCCAUUAUUUGAUAGUGAAAAUUUUUUUUGGUGGUCCAUGAGUUUUUCCUUUACAUCAGAGGAUUUUUCACAUAAAUCUUGGUAUGCUUUAUUUUUCUUGCAUUUUUUUAUUAUUGAUUGUUAUCUAUUUUGUGAGUUUAUUGUGAUAUAUUACUUCUGUAUUUUUAUGUUUAUUACUUCAGACUUAACAAGUAGUAUCAAAACGAUGAUUAUUUUAAGAGGUUGAUAUAGAAGUAGCCCAAGAUAGAACUAAAUUCUGUUUAAGAUUAUGAAGGGUGAUGCGAGUUUCAUGAUAAAAUUGAUAGCAUCAAAUUAUUUAAUUUGAAAGCCUAUGAUGGAAGAUCAUUUAUACUAUAAAGAUUUGUUUGAGCUAAUAUUAGGUGAUUUAGCUAAACCAAUAGGUAUGAAAGAUGAAAGCUGAAAGAUGAAAGCUGAAAGCUGAAAGAAGUUAGAUAGAAAGAUGUAGGCUAUAAUAAAAAAAUGGGUUGAUAUCAGUGUGUUUCAUCAUGUAACUUAGGAGACAGAUACCUAUACUGUUUGAAAAAAAUUAACAGCAUUGUAUGAGAGAAAAACUGGUAUAAAUAAAGUUAUGUUUGUUAAAAAUCUUGUAACUUUACAGUAUAGAGAUGGACAAUUGAUUAUAGAGUACUUAAGUAAUUUUUAAAAAAUAUUUAAUUGAAUGACUACUAUGAAGUUUAAGAUGAAAGAUGAAAUGAAGGCUUUAUUUUUUUUAUGUUCAUUGCCAGGCAAUUGAAAUACUUUAGUUGUGACUGUUCUUAAUUUAGCUCCUGAUUACAAGAUGACAUUAGAGAUGGUAAAAGACAAUAUGCUUAAUAAAAAAGCAAGGCAAAAAGAUUUAGACAUUGGGAAUCAAGCUCUGAUAAUAGAGAAUAGGGGUAAAAACAUCGACAGAGGUUAUAACUCAAAAGGCCAUAAUAAGUCUAAACGUAGACCUAACUCUAAAAAUAAAGUGAAGUGUUUCCAUUGUGAUAAAAUAGGUUAUAUAAAACGAUACUGUAAAAUCUUGAAGCAAUAGUGAAAAGAUGAGAAGGACAAAAGUUCAGAUGAUGGUAAUAUUACAGCAGUGAAUUCAGAUAGUGAUUUAGUUACUUUGAAUUUGUACACAUAGUGAUUAUAAUCAUGUUGGUGAUCCCGACAUUGAGUAAAUAGUUGACACAGGAGUGGCAUAUGAUUAUGUUCCUAAGAGAGAGUUAUUUACAACUUAUAAAGUAAAAGAAUUCGGUUGCACUAAGAUGAAAAAUAAGAGUGUGUCACAGAUUGUUAGGAUUGGUGAUAUUAUUAUACAACAUAGUAUGGGCUACAUGUUAACUUUAAGCGAUGUCAGACAUAUUUUAGAUAUGAGAAUGAAUUUAUUUUUAUUAAUGUCCUUGAUAAGGAAAUAUAUGAAAGUAGAGAAAAGAAUGUGUAGUGAAAGCUUUUCAAAGGAUCUUUAGUAGUUGUAAGGAGAAAUUUAUGCUGCAUAAUGUACAAGAUAUGGAUGCAAUUGAAUGGUAACCAAAUAAAUGUCAUAAAGGAUGAUGCUUCAGUAAACUUGUGGCACAAAAGUCUAGCGUACAUGAGUGAAAAGAGGUUAUAGAUUUUGGUAAGGGAGUCUCUCAUUCCCUUGACCAAAGGUAUAUCUCUUUAUUUAUGUUAUCAUUAUUUGUUUGGUAAGCAUCAUAGAGAUUUUUUUCGUAAGAGUUCUUAGAGAAAAAAAAUAUUGGAAUUGAUUUAUUUUGACAUAUGUGGUCUCACUAAGGUUGAGUCAUUAGGUGGUAAUAGGUAUUUUGUUACUUUUAUUGAUUAUGCUUCAUGUAAGACUUAAGUGUAUAUAUUGAAAACCAAAAGUCAUGUAUUAUAGUAUUUUUAGAUAUUUCAUGCCAUGAUGGAAAGGAUGACAGGGCUACCCUUGAAGUGUAUUCAGACUGAUAAUGGUGGGAAAUACACAUCCAAAGACUUUGAAGAAUACUAGUUAAAGCAUGAGAUCAGGCAUGAAAUGAUAGAACCUAAAGCACCACAACAUAAUGGUGUAGCUAAAAUGAUGAAUUGCACAAUUAUGAAACAAGUCAGAUGUAUGUUGAGGAUGAUAAAAUUACCAAACCCAUUUUAGGGUGAAGCAGUCAACAUAGCUUGUUAUUUGCUUAAUAGAUCACCAUCAUUUUUUUUUAGGCUUUGAUAUUUCAGAAAGAGUGUGGAUAGAGAAAGAUGCUUCAUACUCUCACUUAAAAGUUUUUAGGUAUAAAGCAUUCAUCUAUUUACCGAAAGAACAGAGGUCAAAGCUUGACAUAAGCAACACAAUGUGUUUGUAAGAUAUAAUGAUGAGAAAUUUAGUUAUAAAGUCUAGGAUCUAGUGAAGAGAAAAACAAUCGAAAGUAGAAAUGAGAUUUUUCAUGAAAAAAAAAAAUCAUAGCAGACCUCAACAAAAAUGAAAAGACUACACGGAUUACUAUUGAGUGUGAUGUUUCAACGCCGAUAAGAGUUUCACAAGAAAGAGCCAUAGAUGGUGAAAUUAAGCAGGAAACAGAAUUUAAGGAUAUGAAUGAGCCAGUCACAGUUAGUGAUUAGCUAGAUGCAAUCAGUUUUGAGUAAGGGAAGCAAUCUUCUCUACCUAAAAGUGUUGAGCAAAAGAAGCUACCUUCGACAUUAAGUGGUAUGGAGUUUCAGCCUAAAAAAUCUACUAAAGAGCACAGGUUAUCUACCAGGUAUCAAAGUUUAGAUUUUAUUUUAGUUACUAGUAAAGAGAAGCUAGAGAGCUUUUAAGAUGUGUAGGUUACUCUAGAUAAAGAGCACUAGUUAAAAGCAAUGAAACAAGAGAUGGAGUCAUUACGAAAAAAUAGUACAUAUGAUCUUGUUAAACUUUUGAAAUAAAAGAGAUCGUUGAAAAAUAAAUGGGUGUUUAAGUUAAAAAAAAGAUGGUGACAAGCUAGUGAGGUACAAAGCUCAAUUGGUGGUGAAAGGUUUUUAUCAGAAACUAGGCAUCGAUUUUGAUGAGUUCUUCUCUCAAGUUGAGAAGAUGAGUUUCAUUCGAGUGGUACUAGGAUUAGCAGCUAGUUUGAAUCUUAAGCUUGAGCAAUUUAAUGUCAAGAUUGUAUUUUUGUAUGAUAACUUGUAGGAAGACAUUUAUAUGAAUCAGCUUGAGGGUUUUGAAGUGAAAGAGAAAGAGCAAUUAGUUUGCAAAUUGAAAAAAAGCUUGUAUGACUUGAAACAAGCUCUACGACAAUGGUACAAAAGUUAGAUUCUUUUAUGGUGAGCCAUAGCUAUAGAAAAAGAUAGCGAAUUCUUGUGUGUAUGUCAAAAAUUUUUUUGAUGGUAACUUUAUUAUUAUCUUAUUAUAUGUUGAUGAUAUGUUGAUUGUGAGACAAGAUGUUGGUAUAGUUUACAGGUUGAAAGAACAAUUGUUUAAGUUUUUUAACAUGAAAGAUUUAGGUCCAACAAAGCAGAUUCUUGAUAUAGACAUUAUUCAGGAUAAAAGAGUUGAAAAGUUAUGGUUGUCAUAUGAAAAUUAUGUUGAAUGGGUGCUUAAUAGAUUCAAUAUACAACAUGCUAAAUCAAUUAACAGUGCACUUGUCAACCAUUUUUAUUUGAGUAAAAAAUCUUGUUCGGUAACUAAGAAAGAGCUAUUAGCUAUGUUAGUAGUCCUUAUUCUUUUGUAAUUGAUUUUUUUAAUGUAUUUUAUGAUUUGCACAUGGGUUGACAUUGCUUAUGCAAUUGAUGUAGUGAGUAGAUUUUUUUAUAAUCCAAGAAAAGGUUCACUGAAAAGCAUUGAAAUGAAUUUUCAAAUAUUUGAGAGGCACUUAAAAAAUGUGCUUGAGUUAUAGAGUUUCACAACUAGUUUUAAAAGGGUUUACUGAUACUGACAUGGCAGGUGAUCUUGAUGGUAGAAAAUCUACUUUAGGGUAUUUGUUCACUUUUGUAGGAAGAGUAUGUCUUGGCAGUUUAAGUUGUAAAAGUGUAUUGUUUUGUCAACUACAGAGGCUGAGUAUAUUGCAACAACUGAAGCAGGUAAAGAAAUACUUUGAAUGAAAUAUUUUCUUCUUGAAUUGAGGUUGAAUCAAAAAGAGCAUUUGGUGUUUUAUGAUAGCCAAAGUGCUUUAGAUUUGAGUAAGAAUGCCAUGUAUCAUGCUAAAAUGAAACACAUUCAUGUUAUAUAUCACUUGUUACGUUCAAUGAUUGAGAAACAGUAGAUACUGUUGAAAAAAGUUCAUACUAAUGAGUAUGUGAAAAAUAUAUUGACUAAAACACUUCCUAGGGAAAAGCUUGAGCUUUGCACUAACUUAGCCGGAAUGAGUUCCUUGGCCAAGGUAAAUUCUAAAUAAAAUUGUUAUGAUGAUGAAUAACUUUCUAAUGGGAUUAGAGGGAGAGAUUGUUAGAAAAGUAGAGUCCAGCCCCAUGUAAUUAGGUUUGGACUAAUCAAAGGCCAUAAGCCUUAGUCUUUUUUUUUUUUUACAUAGAGCCCUAAUUACUUAAUAAAAAGAGGUGUGACUGUUUUAAGGAGAAAAAAAAGAUGGUGUCACAAAUUAAGAAAAGAAAGGGGGAAAAAAGCCAGAAAAAUAAAGAGAAAGGGAAAAAGGAGAGUUAGUUGAACGAAAGUUGAUCUGUGAUCCAAUUGAGCUGAAAUUUUAUCAGCAGAUUUAUGAUUCAAAGUUCUACAUUUUAAACGGUGAAGAUCGGGUUUUAAGCUCUCUAUGAAUAAAUUCAAGUGUAUUUGUUGAGUUACCUAUUUUGUAAGAUUUCUCUAAUUAUCUUUUUAGUUGUUGAUUAGCUCUAGUUUUAACUAGAGAACUUUUGUAUAUCCAUUAUUUGAUAGCGGAGAUUUUUCUGGUGAUCUAUGAUUUUUUCUCUUCACACAUGAGGGUUUUCCACAUAAAUCUUGGUGUGCUUUAUUUUUUCUGUGUUUUUUAUUAUUGAUUGUUAUUUAUUGUUGUGGAUUUAAUGUGAUAUAUUGCUUCUGCAUUGUUGUGUUUAUUGCUUUAGGCCCAACAAAUGCCUCCCUGAAAAAUAAGGAGGAAAACAAUAUUUCAUAUACAAUGUUAAGGGCACAUUGAGGAAGAAAUAUUCAUGCACUUUGUGCUUCUAAGAUAGCAUUAAAAUCCUCCCUAGCCUUACGCAAGCGAGGUGUGAUGCAAGCAGCAGGUGAGGCAGGGUAUGAGGUCGGGGAUGAUGUAGAAAACCUGACAUGGCGAGAUGAUUCAUGGGAUUUCCUGCCUGUUGCUCUUGUUUGAGUUGAACCAUUUUUCAGGACUCCUUUUUUAUCUUUAUUAUCAAACACGAAAGCUGAAGAAACCUGUAAAUGUGCAUCGUUUCCAAGAUUUUUGAUCAACUCCAAUGGCAGAUCAAAGUAGGGAUUCAUGGAGUCUCCAUCCCCAUCAUGGACUGGUAUCACAGUUGAUGAAGCCCAGGAUCCGCAUUCGAACUUUUCCAGGGAAACCUGUUCUGGAUAUCACAUUAUUCUCCAUGAACAUUGCUUCUGUCUUUCUUGGCCUCACUAUCUUUGCCUUACCGAUGCCUGGUAAGAACAAGCAAAGGGCGCAGCAUUUGAAGUCAACUUCAUUACCGUCCAUCUUCUGACUGCUCUUUCGACGACCAUCAUUGUUAACAUUGAGAUUAGAGAUUAAACAGCAAUGACCAUGGUGCUUGUUCUUGUUUUGAAGGGCGUUUGCGUCGUACAGCCAAGGAUCAUCAAGUUCAUCUGGAAGGGCACAUUUUCUUGCUUCUCUACAAGACUUGCUUCUCCAAAACUGGUUGUCUUUCAGCUGAGACUGAUGAUGUUGUGUAGCAGAUGAGUGCUUGUUGACCAACUUGUCAACCUGUCGGGGCGAUGCUUGACUUUCAUUUUUCAAGUUCUUCCUUGACAGAAUUGAGCCAAACCGAGGAGAAGAGGUUGCAGAGUUGGGAAGGCUACAACUUUAAAACUUCUGCUUUGCAGGGAGCAAAGGGGGUGGGAGAGAGACAGCAGAAUCGCCUUGAGGUGCAUUAAUAGGAAGUAACAUCAUGUUGAAACUUAUUUCUCCCAUGGAUGAUUCUCUCAAUGAUAUUGGAUCAACAGAUGUCUGUUUUUCCUUUUUCUCCAGGGUACUUUUCAGUCCUUCAAUUGAAAUGAAGUCAAGCUCAUGUGGAUCCUUGUAAAUUUCAUCAAGUUGUGGAGCAAAGUUGUUUGUUGUGGGAACUACUUUUGAAAUCGGAAGUGCCAUGGAAUUAAAAAGAAACGACCUGUAAGGAUGAAACAAGAGCUCCCCCAGCUGCUUAAAUUAAGAAGGAAGAAUGAGCAUGGAUUUGGACGUGGAUAGCACAUAUAACUAGAGCAUCGCAGUGGUGAUUUGCAUGUCCCAAACAGAAUUAGUUUAUCUUUACAACCACUCUACAACAGCUGACUUUGUUAAAUUAGAAAAUAAUAAGAAGAAAAAUUAUCCUAGUGCUUAUGUCACGGACCUAAGAAAGAGUCCUGAUUCCACAUCGAACAUAAUAGGAGGGUCAAUGCGAUAUAAAAUGAUUCACACCACCUCUUCCUUGUGAGAAACUUUUUGUAGAACAAAACCGUGUGGCCAAGAGGCUAGAGCGGAUAAUACCUCACAAGGGUGUGAACCGUGGUAGGUAGGCUGAUCUGAAAUAUCGGAUGAGUGAAUGCCCGGGUCCCGAAGUCGCGCGGGUUCAGAGCUUAAGUCUCGACCCGUGACAAGUAGUAUCAAAGCCAACCCUAAAUCGUUUGACUCACGCCAAACGCCUUGAGGGAGGUAGGCAAGAUGGCUAGCUGAAUCCCACAUCGAACAUAAUACCCUUUUGUAGGCUGAUUUGGGAUGUCGAAAGAGUACAUAUUCAGAUCCCAGAGUCGCGCAAAUUGAAACUUAAAUUUCGACCCGUGACACUUGCAUGUCCAUAUUUGCUCUCUCAAUUCAAAAGCAAUUCUAUUCAGCCUUAAUUCUAUGCAUCCUCAACCACUUCACCACUCGAACAAAUUUUAUUCUUCUUCUAUUUUCUCCUUAUGCGCUAAAGUGGCCUAAGAGGUUCUUUGACUCUUCGAAUAUUUCUGAAAAUGCUUGUCUAGAAUUUCCUGUUAUUUUGUACCAGCGGGAUGAAAUGACAUAUUACCAUUGUCUAGAAUUUCCUGUUAUAAGGUUUGUUAUGGUCCAUUUACCCUCGAUUUAAUAAUAAUAAUAAUCUAUUUUUAAAGGUGGGAAACGUUGAGACUUAGAGUGGGAAGUAACAUUGGUUGUUGUGGUCCUUUUACUGUCAUUUUCUUAAUUUCUUUUGGGUUUUUAAACCUCAUUUCAAACGGUGUCCUUUCUGGUCUGAUGGAUUGCUGAAUUUGAGCAGGUUAUGAGGAUGGGCGUGGAGGUUUGCUAGCUUCAACCUUUUGUCCAUGCUCUCUAUAUAUUCUCUUCAUAGUUUAUUCAAUUAUGGCAACAACGAAGAUUGUAGAGUUCAUUGUCAUGUUUAUACCUCUUUUGUGGUUUCCUUUCUUUUAUAAUUAAACAGAGAAUAUAUAGUGAUUUCUUCAACUUACCCCUAAUUAAUACGCCCAUUUUUUAAAAUUAAUUUUGUAACUUG